AGUCCUCUGCUUCCCACAGGAUCUGUG
RNAcentral lists this unclassified non-coding RNA (27 nucleotides) under Mus musculus (house mouse). RNAcentral's name for it is "oocyte_clustered_small_RNA13679". Lineage: Eukaryota; Metazoa; Chordata; Mammalia; Rodentia; Muridae. The record is from RNAcentral.